Molecule: ribosomal RNA, 235 nt
Filed under: uncultured bacterium
Lineage: Bacteria
Description: partial 16S ribosomal RNA
Rfam family: Bacterial small subunit ribosomal RNA
Source: RNAcentral
UGGCGGACGGGUGAGUAAUGUCUGGGAAACUGCCCGAUGGAGGGGGAUAACUACUGGAAACGGUAGCUAAUACCGCAUAACGUCGCAAGACCAAAGAGGGGGACCUUAGGGCCUCUUGCCAUCGGAUGUGCCCAGAUGGGAUUAGCUAGUAGGUGAGGUAACGGCUCACCUAGGCGACGAUCCCUAGCUGGUCUGAGAGGAUGACCAGCCACACUGGAACUGAGACACGGUCCAG